This is a long non-coding RNA of Herpailurus yagouaroundi (jaguarundi), 1184 nucleotides long. RefSeq lists it as uncharacterized. The transcript is spliced from 3 exons. Lineage: Eukaryota; Metazoa; Chordata; Mammalia; Carnivora; Felidae. The record is from RefSeq and is a predicted model, not a curated record.
ACCCAGGAUGAUUCUAAACAAUGCUUUAUACAGUGCAAGAUCUCGUCAUCAUUUCCAUAUAAGGCCCUGGAAACCACUCGUCUAUUUUCUGUCUCUAUGGAGUUGCCUCAUCCAGUAUGUAGCCUUUUGUGACAGGCUUGUUUGAUGUAGCAAAACGUUUUCAAGGCUCAUCCAGGUUGUGGCUGCUGAGACCAGAGAUUUUUCAGUGUGCCUCCAGGAAACACAAGGAAGACCAUGGAGAAUCAGAGCCACCCCUAUCGGCCUACAUCCUCCGUAACUACCUUUUCACUACUUUGGGGAUAAAUCAAAGUAUGAGCAAUCUUGAAUCAAAUCUAUUCUCAUCAAUCCUUGAAUCUGAACCAGACUCUAAUCUGACCUUGCUCACAUGCUACCUGAAUAUAAAGAACUGAAAAAAGGUAGUGGUUAUUUUGUUUCCACUUCACCUGUCAGAAUUGCAGUCCUGCCUCACUGUUUCUGACUAUCCCAGUCUGCCUGGUAAUACAGCUAUUUGAAUAGGAGUUGGGGUCCUUUACCAAGUUCUCAUUUUCUUCAGGCAAGUUCCACCUGUUUCUAAAUGUUGUACUCUUUAAGGCCAUGCCUUGUCUAUAGCGGGUUGCACAGUGCGUGUCUAAUACAUUGAAGUCCCCGACUUAGAGGAAGAAACAUCUUCACAGAGCAGCCUCCCUCACAGGCUGGUAUUCUUGGGCAGACUGUUUAAUAUCUCCGAGCAUCAGCAAAUGAGAGUCAUAAUACUUUUAUAUCCCAGAGAUGCUAUGAGUGUUAAAUUAAACAGCAUGGAAAGAUGUCCCUUAAGAAAUGUUCAUGUACUUCCUUUCUACCCUUCCCUCUGUGUUCCUUUCAAAAGGACCUCAAAAGGAGGCCAAAUGAGAUCAGUCUUUCCUCUCUCUGUAGAAGGAAAUUAAAGCAGUGUCAGCCAGUGUCCUGGAGGAUGCUUCCUGGACUUUUCCACUUAGGAAGUAAAGGAAAGUAUAUACGGAGGGGCAUAGUAGCAGAGGUCCAAUCACCCUAGAAACCAAAAAGCAACCGCUAGGGAGUGACAGCAGGAAAAAUGCAUAGAAAAAGGAGUAACCUUAGGCUUGGAAAUCCAUAGGACAGCCAGAGACCUUCCAGACCUACUGGAAAUGUAUGUGUGGUCAAAUCCGAGCAAUCCUUUCUUCUUGAUC